Molecule: non-coding RNA, 45 nt
Filed under: Schistosoma mansoni
Lineage: Eukaryota; Metazoa; Platyhelminthes; Trematoda; Strigeidida; Schistosomatidae
Source: RNAcentral
AUUCAGCUGACAAGUCUCAAAUAGGACGAAACGCGCGCCCUGGAU